Molecule: ribosomal RNA, 420 nt
Filed under: Escherichia coli
Lineage: Bacteria; Pseudomonadati; Pseudomonadota; Gammaproteobacteria; Enterobacterales; Enterobacteriaceae
Description: bacterial SSU rRNA
Rfam family: Bacterial small subunit ribosomal RNA
Source: RNAcentral
UUAAAUUGAAGAGUUUGAUCAUGGCUCAGAUUGAACGCUGGCGGCAGGCCUAACACAUGCAAGUCGAACGGUAACAGGAAGCAGCUUGCUGCUUCGCUGACGAGUGGCGGACGGGUGAGUAAUGUCUGGGAAACUGCCUGAUGGAGGGGGAUAACUACUGGAAACGGUAGCUAAUACCGCAUAACGUCGCAAGACCAAAGAGGGGGACCUUCGGGCCUCUUGCCAUCGGAUGUGCCCAGAUGGGAUUAGCUAGUAGGUGGGGUAACGGCUCACCUAGGCGACGAUCCCUAGCUGGUCUGAGAGGAUGACCAGCCACACUGGAACUGAGACACGGUCCAGACUCCUACGGGAGGCAGCAGUGGGGAAUAUUGCACAAUGGGCGCAAGCCUGAUGCAGCCAUGCCGCGUGUAUGAAGAAGGC